GGGGAUUUAGCUCAGUGGUAGAGCGCUUGCCUAGCAAGCACAAGGCCCUGGGUUCAGUCCCCAGCCCCU
RNAcentral lists this transfer RNA (69 nucleotides) under Rattus norvegicus (Norway rat). It matches the Rfam family "tRNA". Rfam says of the family: Transfer RNA (tRNA) molecules are approximately 80 nucleotides in length. Their secondary structure includes four short double-helical elements and three loops (D, anti-codon, and T loops). Further hydrogen bonds mediate the characteristic L-shaped molecular structure. tRNAs have two regions of fundamental functional importance: the anti-codon, which is responsible for specific mRNA codon recognition, and the 3' end, to which the tRNAs corresponding amino acid is attached (by aminoacyl-tRNA synthetases). tRNAs cope with the degeneracy of the genetic code in two manners: having more than one tRNA (with a specific anti-codon) for a particular amino acid; and 'wobble' base-pairing, i.e. permitting non-standard base-pairing at the 3rd anti-codon position. Lineage: Eukaryota; Metazoa; Chordata; Mammalia; Rodentia; Muridae. The record is from Rfam by way of RNAcentral.